AGUGAACGCUGGCGGUAGGCCUAACACAUGCAAGUCGAACGGCAGCACAGUAAGAGCUUGCUCUUACGGGUGGCGAGUGGCGGACGGGUGAGGAAUACAUCGGAAUCUACUUUUUCGUGGGGGAUAACGUAGGGAAACUUACGCUAAUACCGCAUACGACCUACGGGGGAAAGCAGGGGAUCUUCGGACCUUGCGCGACUGAAUGAGCCGAUGUCGGAUUAGCUAGUUGGCGGGGUAAAGGCCCACCAAGGCGACGAUCCGUAGCUGGUCUGAGAGGAUGAUCAGCCACACUGGAACUGAGACACGGUCCAGACUCCUACGGGAGGCAGCAGUGGGGAAUAUUGGACAAUGGGCGCAAGCCUGCUCCAGCCAUACCGCGUGGGUGAAGAAGGCCUUCGGGUUGUAAAGCCCUUUUGUUGGGAAAGAAAAGCAGCAGGUUAAUACCCCGCUGUUCUGACGGUACCCAAAGAAUAAGCACCGGCUAACUUCGUG
This 492-nucleotide ribosomal RNA is filed under the name uncultured bacterium. RNAcentral describes it as "partial 16S ribosomal RNA". It matches the Rfam family "Bacterial small subunit ribosomal RNA", at positions 29 to 507 of the family's 1533-position model. The record is from RNAcentral.